UUCAGGUAAUUCGAAUCUCUCAUUGCUUGAAUAUGCCAUUUACAUGAUUCCGAAGAACAAUGGGCCUCAAAGCGUAUUUAAUAAUGUUUCUCGUUGCUGAAAGGCAUUAUGGAAUAAUGUUUCUAUGUAUUUAAUAACAGGGAAAUGUGUUUCUCAUUUGUGGAAUGUAAAUACUUAGUGUCAAUUUACUGUAAUGGAUUUUUAAACUGUUGCAU
RNAcentral lists this long non-coding RNA (215 nucleotides) under Citrus x clementina. Its description in RNAcentral is "Citrus clementina (C. clementina) long non-coding RNA (CCLE_LNC000292)". Lineage: Eukaryota; Viridiplantae; Streptophyta; Magnoliopsida; Sapindales; Rutaceae. The record is from RNAcentral.